GGAGUCUGGACCGUGUCUCAGUUCCAGUGUGGGGGACCUUCCUCUCAGAACCCCUAAGGAUCGAUGGCUCGGUGGGCCGUUACCCCGCCGACUACCUAAUCCUACGCAUCCCCAUCCCUCGGCGAUGAAUCUUUCGUCCAACUUAGAUGCCUGCAUCGGACAACAUAGGGAAUUAAUCCGACUUUCGCCGGGCUGUGCCCUACUACGGGGAAGGUUGGAUACGCGUUACUCACCCGUGCGCCGGUCGCCAUCACAGAUAGCAAGCUACCUGCAUGCUGCCCCUCGACUUGCAUGUGUUAAGCCUGUAGCUAGCGUUCAUC
RNAcentral lists this ribosomal RNA (320 nucleotides) under uncultured Prevotella sp. RNAcentral describes it as "partial 16S ribosomal RNA". Lineage: Bacteria; Pseudomonadati; Bacteroidota; Bacteroidia; Bacteroidales; Prevotellaceae. The record is from RNAcentral.